ACGAACGCUGGCGGCGUGCCUAAUACAUGCAAGUAGAACGCUGAAGAGAGGAGCUUGCUCUUCUUGGAUGAGUUGCGAACGGGUGAGUAACGCGUAGGUAACCUGCCUGGUAGCGGGGGAUAACUAUUGGAAACGAUAGCUAAUACCGCAUAAAAUUGAUUAUUGCAUGAUAAUUAAUUGAAAGAUGCAACUGCAUCACUACCAGAUGGACCUGCGUUGUAUUAGCUAGUUGGUGAGGUAACGGCUCACCAAGGCGACGAUACAUAGCCGACCUGAGAGGGUGAUCGGCCACACUGGGACUGAGACACGGCCCAGACUCCUACGGGAGGCAGCAGUAGGGAAUCUUCGGCAAUGGGGGGAACCCUGACCGAGCAACGCCGCGUGAGUGAAGAAGGUUUUCGGAUCGUAAAGCUCUGUUGUAAGAGAAGAACGGGUGUGAGAGUGGAAAGUUCACACUGUGACGGUAUCUUACCAGAAAGAGACGGCUAACUACGUG
This 496-nucleotide ribosomal RNA is filed under the name uncultured bacterium. RNAcentral describes it as "partial 16S ribosomal RNA". It matches the Rfam family "Bacterial small subunit ribosomal RNA", at positions 29 to 507 of the family's 1533-position model. The record is from RNAcentral.